RNAcentral lists this ribosomal RNA (445 nucleotides) under uncultured bacterium. Its description in RNAcentral is "partial 16S ribosomal RNA". It matches the Rfam family "Bacterial small subunit ribosomal RNA", at positions 330 to 792 of the family's 1533-position model. The record is from RNAcentral.
CCCAGACUCCUACGGGAGGCAGCAGUGGGGAAUAUUGCACAAUGGGGGAAACCCUGAUGCAGCGACGCCGCGUGAAGGAAGAAGUAUUUCGGUAUGUAAACUUCUAUCAGCAGGGAAGAAAAUGGCGGUACCUGACUAAGAAGCCCCGGCUAACUACGUGCCAGCAGCCGCGGUAAUACGUAGGGGGCAAGCGUUAUCCGGAUUUACUGGGUGUAAAGGGAGCGUAGGCGGUUUAGCAAGUCAGAAGUGAAAGCCCGGGGCUUAACUCCGGGACUGCUUUUGAAACUGUUGAACUAGAUUGCAGGAGAGGUAAGUGGAAUUCCUAGUGUAGCGGUGAAAUGCGUAGAGAUAUGGAGGAACACCAGUGGCGAAGGCGGCUUCCUGGUCUGCAACUGACACUGAGGCGCGAAAGCGUGGGGAGCAAACAGGAUUAGAUACCCCCGUA